This 253-nucleotide ribosomal RNA is filed under the name uncultured bacterium. RNAcentral's name for it is "partial 16S ribosomal RNA". It matches the Rfam family "Bacterial small subunit ribosomal RNA", at positions 524 to 776 of the family's 1533-position model. The record is from RNAcentral.
UACGAAGGGGGCUAGCGUUGCUCGGAAUCACUGGGCGUAAAGGGUGCGUAGGCGGGUCUUUAAGUCAGGGGUGAAAUCCUGGAGCUCAACUCCAGAACUGCCUUUGAUACUGGAGAGCUUGAGUCCGGAAGAGGUGAGUGGAACUCCGAGUGUAGAGGUGAAAUUCGUAGAUAUUCGGAAGAACACCAGUGGCGAAGGCGGCUCACUGGUCCGGUACUGACGCUGAUGUGCGAAAGCGUGGGGAGCAAACAGG